GUUGGAUUUAUUCAGAAUGAAGUAUCCAAAUCUGAGGAACCUGCUAAGGUUCAUUUAACAUAUCCUAUUACUAGCGGAGCAGUAGUAAUUUCUAACAGGGAUCAGAAAAGUCCUGACAAGAUUGUUAAGCCUAUAAGCAAUGCUAUUGUUAUUUUUGAAAACAAUGUCCUUUAUAAUCUAUGUGGGUCUGAAACUAAUUCUGCCCCUUGUACUGGUAGAUUGAAAGCUUUUUGUUGGAAACCCUUAUUAGAAGAUAUUUUAACAAAGUGUCCCAUCAAGGAUAAAAUCCCGGUGAUUACUAAUCAUGUAUGGGUAAAUUUGACUCCUGAGGUAGAAAUCAUGGAUAAUAAUUAUGACCAGAAUGAACAUUUAAAUGUCACUAUUUUGAGAUGGGCCUACUUUAAUACUCAAGCUUUAACUUCCAAUCUUUUUAUGCUACUGCCCUAUAUUAAUCAACCUAUUUUUGACUGCUCAGAUUCUCGUGUUAUUGAUAUUCAUCUUCCAUUUGGGGUAUACUAUUUAUCUGGUAGUUGGGCGGUAAAAAGACUUCCAUGCAAUUGGUUAUCUAGGUAAUAUUAUCCCAGCGUUAACCCUUCAUGAAAAUUUGCCUGAAGGAAGGGUGAGGAAUAAAAGAAAGGUUAUUAGUUCCAAAAAAGAUAAAACCGAAAGAACUGUAAAAUCUGGUGAAGGAGAUAGGCUAUUUGCAGGUUUUGUACCUACAUGGGGGGGUUAUUGAAUUAAUGUACAAAUAAAAUUUGUUAGGAGAUAUACUAGAUGAAGCCUUUAAUAAUACAGGAGAUGCUAUUGAAAAAUUGUCUGUAGAACAGGAACAAGCUUCAGCUAUGAUUAUGCAAAAUAGGUUUGCCCUAGAUUACUUGUUGGCCUCCAAA
Pelobates cultripes (western spadefoot toad) is the source of this 890-nucleotide non-coding RNA. The record is from the annotation of a GenBank genome assembly. NCBI's taxonomy places the organism in Eukaryota, Metazoa, Chordata, Amphibia, Anura, Pelobatidae.